UGUGAUGUGCCUGACUAAAGGACUAUUUUGAUAGGAUAGAACAUGUGCCCCCACCACCAUCACAA
RNAcentral lists this transfer RNA (65 nucleotides) under Crioceris asparagi (common asparagus beetle). RNAcentral's name for it is "tRNA-Ile". The record is from RNAcentral. Lineage: Eukaryota; Metazoa; Arthropoda; Insecta; Coleoptera; Chrysomelidae.